UCACCACUAAAUAGGGCAGCAUGGGUUAGCAUGAGAGGAAUCAACUUGGUCUUAGUAGUUUUUAAAAUAUAUAUAGAUGCUGAAAAAAUAUGGUUUCAACCUAUUUGAAAAUUGGCUGAAGAGGAGCCACAUUCAGAUGACUGCAGUCUGGGUCCAAGCUGUGUUCUCUUGACAAAACAAUGUUCGGUGACCACCUUGGGAGGAGGAGGAGGAAGAGAAAGAAGGCAGGGAGUGGCAUCCAUGACCUCUUCGCUUUGGACAAAGUAUUCUGGAGUGUCACUGCUUCCUUUAGAAGAGCAGCCAUUCACCACCAUGGCUCCACUACCCCUUACAUUCCCGACUCUCUAGGAUACUCCAUCACAGGGCCCUCUUGUCCAAGUGCUGCAAUAAAGAAAAACCAACAAAAAUUUUUCCAUAACAUUUUUAUCCAGCAAC
Molecule: long non-coding RNA, 435 nt
Organism: Carcharodon carcharias (great white shark)
Lineage: Eukaryota; Metazoa; Chordata; Chondrichthyes; Lamniformes; Lamnidae
Exons: 3
Source: RefSeq, a predicted model, not a curated record